RNA transcript from Adelges cooleyi (spruce gall adelgid), 3033 nucleotides. It is a transcript of the gene named E3 ubiquitin-protein ligase FANCL-like, with no coding region annotated. The record is from RefSeq and is a predicted model, not a curated record. Lineage: Eukaryota; Metazoa; Arthropoda; Insecta; Hemiptera; Adelgidae. The transcript has 10 exons.
ACGGUGCGUGCCGCGUUGUCUUAAAUCCACAGAAUAUAUUAAAACAAUAAAGCCGAAUUAUAAUAUUAUGUUUCCAUAGAAAAAAAACUAUCAUUAAACGGUAAUCUGUUUUGUAUACAUUUUUGAGACGGUGUCCGAUCUGCGCUCGCCAUUUAUACCGUCGACAUUCGACUCGUUUAUGACGAGUUGAUGUGUCAGUGUCGGAUCGUCUGAAUGAUGGAAGUUCAAGUUUAAUACAUACAAGGCUGACACGUACGAAAUUCUGUCGUAAUGGAGGAGGAAAACGAUAUGCUUGAAAAAUUUCCCUUGUUAUUGCCAAACACUAAUUGCACAUCAUGGAGCGGUUAUAUAUUUUUAAAAACACAGAGCGUAUUUGUUAAACUCUUAUGCCCACGGUUUCCUUCUUUGGAAAAUUUAAGUUUGAACAUUCUUCGAAUCGACGAUGUUAAUUUACAACAUUUUGAAUUAGAAAAAAUCGUAAAACAAACAACAAAACAAACUGGCAGUGUUCCUGAAUUUUUGUCGAGAUUGACUACUGUCUUGGACUGUUCAUUGAGCUCGACUCUUCCCGAUGUCGCUCUACUACCUCUUAGAAUCGAUCACGAUAGAUUUUGUGCAAUUAUUGGAGAAAUUAAAAAUGUCGUUUUUUACAUUGACAGUAUAGCAGAAGAUUUGAGUCAUAUCAAAUUUACAGUGAAUGAUGAAUCCCAACGUAAACAUUUCAUUAAAGUUAAUGUAUCAAACGACUAUCCGAUGAUCAAAAAGCAACCUAUGGAAUUUGACGCAGUAGUUCCAUCUGUUAUCAUGAAUUCACUGUUGAAAGUAAAUACUAUUGUUGAAUUAUUCGAUGAAUUUAAAAAAGGUGUAUCAUCUUUGAACGAUUUUUGGAAUGUUCACGAAGACAUUUUGAAGACUUGUAAUGUUAUAGAUUCUUAUACGUUGGCCGACGUGUGUUUCAAAAUUCCCAUUGAUAAACACGUGAUUGUAAACGUUGAAGUCGAUCCGUUGAAUCCUCUGUGCUGCCCCGAUUUUAAGUUACAAGGUCAAUGUGAAGACACUCAGAAGUUUCAACAAAGACUCCAUGAAAUCAAUCCAAUAUCGAUUUGGAGUACUUAUAAGAGUUUUAAGGAUAAUGUUGUGGAAGUGUUUGGAGUGGAGAUGAUCGCUUCUCAGUACGAAGAAAUGCCGGGACCGAGUAACGAAUCUAGCUAUUGUUUUAUAUGUUACGACGAGUUAGACGCAACGUCAAAGAAACAGACCAAAGUAUGUGUCAACAGCAAAUGCGACGCUGUGUAUCACAUUACUUGUAUUUGUGAGAUGGCACGCAUUAGGGUGAGUACCGCUAGGCCGGAAACCGGGAAGAGCGGGGACGGCGGCCAAAUACCCAGUGGCGGAGGGAGUACCGCCCUCCGAGGACCACCUUGCGGCGGGCGUCGCAGCUGAUGGAGGAAGCCCUUGGAUUAAUUCAGGGUCCCCAAGGUUCCCGCAGAGGGGGCUACGACUUGUACAGGCAGGGCUGGGAAGACCGCCACAGCGGCCUGCCUUUGGCUUCGCGGUACGAGUGGGAGCGGGCAAAUCGGGCAGGUGCUCCACUCACCUUACUGCCCGCUGGAAGCCUGGCCCAACCUGCAACCACGGUUCCCAUCCAUCAUCAGGCCCCAGAUCGUCAGUCAGGACUGCGGGAAAUGGACCCUGCUCCAACGCGCCCCCAACACCCAGCUCCAGUUUCGGGACGCCACCGGGAGAAGUCCCAAAGACGACCCGGAGUAUAUGGGCGAGGACGGGACGGCCGUUGGACAGCGGGAACUCUAACCAACAACAACCGCUAGACUCGACGCGCCGCCCAUAAUGUGAGGGACUCGGCAGGGAAAUUCACGGCGAGGAGAACGUCGCCCCCCCUCACCGAUGCCCUCAGCCAAGGAAGGACGGAGACCAGGCAGGAAAGAAGCGACCACCAACCUGGAACUUCACAGGCCAGCACUUUGAGUACGACAGUGGAAGCACCGGAGGAACCGGAAAGUGUCCAUACCCCCGCUGCUUCCCCAAACCAUUUCCCCAGAACCACUUACGAAGCGCUGACCUACGUGCCCGUAGGGUCGUCUGCUGCGGUGGUCUGUCAAGACCCCACGGACAUUUCAGCCAUGGAUGCCAUCCAGGAGCUGGAGGAGCUACUGGGACCGGAGAGGCCGGUGAACUGGGAAGCAGUACGUGCUUCACGCCACCAGUUGCAGAACGUCCAGCGGGCAACCGCGGUUGUUCAACCCAGCGGCCCGCCGACACCGGGUCACACCGCUCAAACCAUCUACAUUGACCUGACGUAAAGAGACCGUCCGGACUGGGAGGGGAGGAGUAUGUCGCGGUCGGCUCAAAAAUACUUGUAAAAUUAUAUCAAACGUAACAAUUUUCAGUUAUCUAUUAUGACUAAGGUCCGGAUAAAUAUUGCCCGAAGUCAAUUUUGGACUGCCGCAGGGAAACAUCACGCAGGGGUGCAAGAGCAAGUAGCCGCCGCUCUUCAACACUCGUUGUCGACUGCCAAAUCGUUUUAUACUAUAACGACCGCCGAAGAAGCCGUCAGGCAGCAGAGGGCGGUUUGCCAUGUAGAAAGCUCUGCGUUGUUGGGCGAGUAUUUGGCCGGAAGGUACGCCGAGUUGUUCGAUUGUACGGCUGAUGGACCGGCUCCGUGUUCGCUCGCCGAAUUUCAACGCAGACUUAGCGCCGAUGGCGAUCUUGAAGAGGUGAAUUAUUCUACUAACAGCGACGGCCUACGCCAAAAUCGUCGAUUUGGUGAAUCGCGAUCAGCGUGCGGCGCGAAUAAAAGUCUUGGCGAAUACGGCUCGGACGAGCGGCUACGCCUCUGGUGAAUUUGGAGUCCCUGAAUUAAUUAAAGUGGCCGCUAAAGUGAAGAAGUCUGCGUGGGUCACUUCACUUUCUGAAGUUCAGAAGUGGGAAGCUGCCAAAAAUGUAGCGAGCUUUCUGGCGGCGGGGACCGAUUCGGACUGAUUGGACUCGUGUGUGUUGUAUGUAAAGUAUAUU